GACGAACGCUGGCGGCGUGCUUAACACAUGCAAGUCGAACGGAAAGGCCCUGCUUUUGUGGGGUGCUCGAGUGGCGAACGGGUGAGUAACACGUGAGUAACCUGCCCUUGACUUUGGGAUAACUUCAGGAAACUGGGGCUAAUACCGGAUAGGAGCUCCUGCUGCAUGGUGGGGGUUGGAAAGUUUCGGCGGUUGGGGAUGGACUCGCGGCUUAUCAGCUUGUUGGUGGGGUAGUGGCUUACCAAGGCUUUGACGGGUAGCCGGCCUGAGAGGGUGACCGGCCACAUGAGGACUGAGAUACGGCCCAGACGCCUACGGGAGGCAGCAGUGGGGAAUAUUGCACAAUGGGCGGAAGCCUGAUGCAGCAACGCCGCGUGCGGGAUGACGGCCUUCGGGUUGUAAACCGCUUUCGCCUGUGACGAAGCGUGAGUGACGGUAAUGGGUAAAGAAGCACCGGCUAACUACGUG
Molecule: ribosomal RNA, 468 nt
Filed under: uncultured bacterium
Lineage: Bacteria
Description: partial 16S ribosomal RNA
Rfam family: Bacterial small subunit ribosomal RNA
Source: RNAcentral